RNAcentral lists this ribosomal RNA (207 nucleotides) under uncultured bacterium. RNAcentral describes it as "partial 16S ribosomal RNA". It matches the Rfam family "Bacterial small subunit ribosomal RNA", at positions 568 to 774 of the family's 1533-position model. The record is from RNAcentral.
UGCGUAGGCGGUCGGCAAAGUCUGAUGUGAAAUCUCCGGGCUCAACCCGGAAACUGCAUCGGAUACUGGUCGGCUAGAGGAUUGGAGGGGGGACUGGAAUUCUCGGUGUAGCAGUGAAAUGCGUAGAUAUCGAGAGGAACACCAGUAGCGAAGGCGAGUCCCUGGACAAUUCCUGACGCUGAGGCACGAAAGCUAGGGGAGCAAACA